Molecule: ribosomal RNA, 301 nt
Filed under: uncultured bacterium
Lineage: Bacteria
Description: partial 16S ribosomal RNA
Rfam family: Bacterial small subunit ribosomal RNA
Source: RNAcentral
CAGCCGCCGCGGUAACACGUAGGUGGCAAGCGUUGUCCGGAAUUAUUGGGCGUAAAGGGCUCGCAGGCGGUUUCUUAAGUCUGAUGUGAAAGCCCCCGGCUCAACCGGGGAGGGUCAUUGGAAACUGGGAAACUUGAGUGCAGAAGAGGAGAGUGGAAUUCCACGUGUAGCGGUGAAAUGCGUAGAGAUGUGGAGGAACACCAGUGGCGAAGGCGACUCUCUGGUCUGUAACUGACGCUGAGGAGCGAAAGCGUGGGGAGCGAACAGGAUUAGAUACCCGAGUAGUCCCUGUCUCUUAUAC